This is an unclassified non-coding RNA of Neogale vison (American mink), 137 nucleotides long. NCBI's taxonomy places the organism in Eukaryota, Metazoa, Chordata, Mammalia, Carnivora, Mustelidae. The record is from Ensembl.
UUCUCAGGCUGAUGGAGUGAGUGACAGAGUGGGUUGCCAACUAGAGGGACCCCACUCAGCAUGCGGGAUGGCCGCAGGGAAUACAUUCAGACGUGCCCAAAGAAGUCUGCCCAGCGGGAGACACAUAACUUUGAGGU